UGAUCCGGGUUGCGGACAGUGUCUGGUGGGUAGUUUGACUGGGGCGGUCUCCUCCUAAAGAGUAACGGAGGAGCACGAAGGUUGGCUAAUCCUGGUCGGACAUCAGGAGGUUAGUGCAAUGGCAUAAGCCAGCUUGACUGCGAGCGUGACGGCGCGAGCAGGUGCGAAAGCAGGUCAUAGUGAUCCGGUGGUUCUGAAUGGAAGGGCCAUCGCUCAACGGAUAAAAGGUACUCCGGGGAUAACAGGCUGAUACCGCCCAAGAGUUCAUAUCGACGGCGGUGUUUGGCACCUCGAUGUCGGCUCAUCACAUCCUGGGGCUGAAGUAGGUCCCAAGGGUAUGGCUGUUCGCCAUUUAAAGUGGUACGCGAGCUGGGUUUAGAACGUCGUGAGACAGUUCGGUCCCUAUCUGCCGUGGGCGCUGGAGAACUGAGGGGGGCUGCUCCUAGUACGAGAGGACCGGAGUGGACGCAUCACUGGUGUUCGGGUUGUCAUGCCAAUGGCACUGCCCGGUAGCUAAAUGCGGAAGAGAUAAGUGCUGAAAGCAUCUAAGCACGAAACUUGCCCCGAGAUGAGUUCUCCCUGACUCCUUGAGAGUCCUGAAGGAACGUUGAAGACGACGACGUUGAUAGGCCGGGUGUGUAAGCGCAGCGAUGCGUUGAGCUAACCGGUACUAAUGAACCGUGAGGCUUAACCUU
RNAcentral lists this ribosomal RNA (695 nucleotides) under Escherichia coli. RNAcentral describes it as "partial 23S ribosomal RNA". It matches the Rfam family "Bacterial large subunit ribosomal RNA", at positions 2236 to 2925 of the family's 2925-position model. The record is from RNAcentral. Lineage: Bacteria; Pseudomonadati; Pseudomonadota; Gammaproteobacteria; Enterobacterales; Enterobacteriaceae.